Molecule: long non-coding RNA, 896 nt
Filed under: Homo sapiens (human)
Lineage: Eukaryota; Metazoa; Chordata; Mammalia; Primates; Hominidae
Description: HSALNT0049929
Source: RNAcentral
GCCUUCCAAAGUGCUUUCAGAGUACAGGGACCUGAUAACUUGUCAAAAGGGGCUCAGGAAGGGAGGCUAAACCCUGAAACUGUUCAGAGAAAGGAGUGGGUUCCCAGCAGAGCCCUGGAAAGGUGAGGGGCUGGAGCUGGGGGAGAGGAGGUCGACAGCAGAGACACCAUGGAGACAGGUAUGUGCAUGAGUCAACAGCUUCCCACUCCUCAUCCCUCCAUCCCCUCACACACACAAAUCAUACAGCAACAGGGUUUCCUAGCAUAAAUAAUGUGGGGGUAUUCCAGAAAAAGACACCCCUGUAAGGUGGGAUUUAGGCUGGCCUGAGAGUGGGCUUCCUACACAGUCUCUACAGCAAAGCCCAGCGCUUGACAAGUCCUGCUUUUGAAUGCAAACUCCUUGUGAGCUUCCUAACACCUCAGUCUUAGUCUCUUUAAGACUGCUAAGGAUAUUGGGUAUUUGGGAAGACUUUCAACAUGAACAAUAGAGACCAACGUAAAUUAGAAAGAUGACGUGAGAAGAAAUAGAAACACAGAGAAAUGAAGAGCAUUCUGGAACCUCGUUAGAACAUUCCUAGAACAAACACAGAAUGCUUCAAGAAACAGCCCAAGAAAAGGCUAUCAGGAGAUAAAAUGACAAUAGAUUAAAAUUACCGCAGGCUCUUGGAUUCUUACUUUUGGAGAAGUCAGCCUAAGAAAUCUACCCAGAAACUCAUGUGGAAAAGACACACAAAGGUAGAUGCAGAGCCAGCCCUGAGCUGUGUGGCCACCCCAAUGUCAGACACAUGAAUGGAAAUGGAAUUCCAGCCUAGGUGAGCCUUCAGACAGCACCACCCCUAGGUUCUGUCACCACAACUCUUAGGAGGAGCCACUCAGCUGGGCUCAGUGAACCCACAG